ACACUGGUGGUGAAGCGGUAUCAUCCUUGCCUUCCAAUCGCGAAUUGGCUCAGCAAGCGGCAGGGGUUCGACUCCCUUUCAGUGUA
Molecule: non-coding RNA, 86 nt
Organism: Mycena vitilis
Lineage: Eukaryota; Fungi; Basidiomycota; Agaricomycetes; Agaricales; Mycenaceae
Source: the annotation of a GenBank genome assembly